AUUCCAUGAUGAGGGUAUUUCUAUAAUAAUUCUUUGAAUCAUUCCCGUGCCUCAUACAAUGACUCAUCAUCCAUUUUUUGGAAGAAAGUAAUCUCGUUCCUCAACUU
Gossypium arboreum is the source of this 107-nucleotide small nucleolar RNA. It matches the Rfam family "Plant small nucleolar RNA R71". Rfam says of the family: R71 is a member of the C/D box family of snoRNAs containing the C (UGAUGA) and D (CUGA) box motifs. Lineage: Eukaryota; Viridiplantae; Streptophyta; Magnoliopsida; Malvales; Malvaceae. The record is from Rfam.